RNAcentral lists this ribosomal RNA (625 nucleotides) under Staphylococcus aureus. RNAcentral's name for it is "partial 23S ribosomal RNA". It matches the Rfam family "Bacterial large subunit ribosomal RNA", at positions 1538 to 2160 of the family's 2925-position model. Lineage: Bacteria; Bacillati; Bacillota; Bacilli; Caryophanales; Staphylococcaceae. The record is from RNAcentral.
AAAUCCGGUACUCAUUAAGGCUGAGCUGUGAUGGGGAGAAGACAUUGUGUCUUCGAGUCGUUGAUUUCACACUGCCGAGAAAAGCCUCUAGAUAGAAAAUAGGUGCCCGUACCGCAAACCGACACAGGUAGUCAAGAUGAGAAUUCUAAGGUGAGCGAGCGAACUCUCGUUAAGGAACUCGGCAAAAUGACCCCGUAACUUCGGGAGAAGGGGUGCUCUUUAGGGUUAACGCCCAGAAGAGCCGCAGUGAAUAGGCCCAAGCGACUGUUUAUCAAAAACACAGGUCUCUGCUAAACCGUAAGGUGAUGUAUAGGGGCUGACGCCUGCCCGGUGCUGGAAGGUUAAGAGGAGUGGUUAGCUUCUGCGAAGCUACGAAUCGAAGCCCCAGUAAACGGCGGCCGUAACUAUAACGGUCCUAAGGUAGCGAAAUUCCUUGUCGGGUAAGUUCCGACCCGCACGAAAGGCGUAACGAUUUGGGCACUGUCUCAACGAGAGACUCGGUGAAAUCAUAGUACCUGUGAAGAUGCAGGUUACCCGCGACAGGACGGAAAGACCCCGUGGAGCUUUACUGUAGCCUGAUAUUGAAAUUCGGCACAGCUUGUACAGGAUAGGUAGGAGCCUUUGA